AUUGAACGCUGGCGGCAUGCCUUACACAUGCAAGUCGAACGGUAACGGGCCUUCGGGUGCCGACGAGUGGCGAACGGGGGAGUAAUACAUCGGAACGUGCCCGAUCGUGGGGGAUAACGAGGCGAAAGCUUUGCUAAUACCGCAUACGAUCUACGGAUGAAAGCAGGGGACCGCAAGGGCUUGCGCGGACGGAGCGGCCGAUGGCAGAUUAGGUAGUUGGUGGGAUAAAAGCUUACCAAGCCGACGAUCUGUAGCUGGUCUGAGAGGAUGAUCAGCCACACUGGGACUGAGACACGGCCCAGACUCCUACGGGAGGCAGCAGUGGGGAAUUUUGGACAAUGGGCGCAAGCCUGAUCCAGCCAUGCCGCGUGCAGGAUGAAGGCCUUCGGGUUGUAAACUGCUUUUGUACGGAACGAAAAGCCUUCUUUUAAUACAGGAGGGUCAUGACGGUACCGUAAGAAUAAGCACCGGCUAACUACGUG
Molecule: ribosomal RNA, 482 nt
Filed under: uncultured bacterium
Lineage: Bacteria
Description: partial 16S ribosomal RNA
Rfam family: Bacterial small subunit ribosomal RNA
Source: RNAcentral